CCUUCCAGACCUAGGUAGAGUGGCAAUGGUAGUGGUGCCCAUCUCACAUCAGCCAGGGACAGAGUAACCCCUUGUUUCUCCCAGCUUGGCUUUGUACCACACCCAUGCCUGGUUUGUGCCUUGGACACAUGA
Molecule: small nucleolar RNA, 132 nt
Organism: Choloepus didactylus (southern two-toed sloth)
Lineage: Eukaryota; Metazoa; Chordata; Mammalia; Pilosa; Megalonychidae
Product: small nucleolar RNA SNORA48
Exons: 1
Source: RefSeq, a predicted model, not a curated record